Molecule: ribosomal RNA, 409 nt
Filed under: uncultured bacterium
Lineage: Bacteria
Description: bacterial SSU rRNA
Rfam family: Bacterial small subunit ribosomal RNA
Source: RNAcentral
UAUUGCACAAUGGGGGAAACCCUGAUGCAGCGACGCCGCGUGAGUGAAGAAGUAUUUCGGUACGUAAAGCUCUAUCAGCAGGGAAGAAAAAAAGUCCUUUGGACUUUGGACGGUACCUGACCAAGAAGCCCCGGCUAACUACGUGCCAGCAGCCGCGGUAAUACGUAGGGGGCAAGCGUUAUCCGGAUUUACUGGGUGUAAAGGGAGCGUAGGCGGUUUAGCAAGUCAGAAGUGAAAGCCCGGGGCCCAACUCCGGGACUGCUUUUGAAACUGUUGAACUAGAUUGCAGGAGAGGUAAGUGGAAUUCCUAGCGUAGCGGUGAAAUGCGUAGAUAUUAGGAGGAACACCAGUGGCGAAGGCGGCUUACUGGACUGUAAAUGACGCUGAGGCUCGAAAGCGUGGGGAGCAA